GUGCCAGCAGCCGCGGUAACACGUAGGGACCGAGCGUUGUCCGGAUUUAUUGGGCGUAAAGAGCUCGUAGGCGGUCGUGUAAGUCGGGUGUGAAAUCUCCAGGCUCAACUUGGAGGGGCCACCCGAUACUGCUCGACUCGAGUCCGGUAGGGGAGUGGGGAAUUCCUGGUGUAGCGGUGAAAUGCGCAGAUAUCAGGAGGAACACCGGUGGCGAAGGCGCCACUCUGGGCCGGUACUGACGCUGAGGAGCGAAAGCGUGGGUAGCAAACAGGAUUAGAUACCCUGGUAGUCC
Molecule: ribosomal RNA, 292 nt
Filed under: uncultured bacterium
Lineage: Bacteria
Description: partial 16S ribosomal RNA
Rfam family: Bacterial small subunit ribosomal RNA
Source: RNAcentral